UCCUGUACCACCUAUACUCGUUUUAAUCGAUGGGGGGACGCCGCAGGCUAGGCGAAGCGUGCGAUUGGAUUGCACGUCCAAGCAGUAAGGCGGAGUAUUAGGCAAAUCCGGUACUCGUUAAGGCUUAGCUGUGAUGGGGAGAAGACAUUGUGUCUUCGAGUCGUUGAUUUCACACUUACGAGAAAAAAAGCUAGAUAGAAAAUAUGAGACCGUACCGCACAACGACACAGG
RNAcentral lists this ribosomal RNA (231 nucleotides) under Staphylococcus aureus. RNAcentral's name for it is "partial 23S ribosomal RNA". It matches the Rfam family "Bacterial large subunit ribosomal RNA", at positions 1437 to 1663 of the family's 2925-position model. The record is from RNAcentral. Lineage: Bacteria; Bacillati; Bacillota; Bacilli; Caryophanales; Staphylococcaceae.